RNAcentral lists this ribosomal RNA (483 nucleotides) under uncultured bacterium. Its description in RNAcentral is "bacterial SSU rRNA". It matches the Rfam family "Bacterial small subunit ribosomal RNA", at positions 30 to 507 of the family's 1533-position model. The record is from RNAcentral.
AUUGAACGCUGGCGGCAUGCCUUACACAUGCAAGUCGAACGGCAGCACGGGAGCAAUCCUGGUGGCGAGUGGCGAACGGGUGAGUAAUAUAUCGGAACGUGCCCAGUCGUGGGGGAUAACGUAGCGAAAGCUACGCUAAUACCGCAUACGAUCUAUGGAUGAAAGCGGGGGAUCGCAAGACCUCGCGCGAUUGGAGCGGCCGAUAUCAGAUUAGGUAGUUGGUGGGGUAAAGGCUCACCAAGCCAACGAUCUGUAGCUGGUCUGAGAGGACGACCAGCCACACUGGAACUGAGACACGGUCCAGACUCCUACGGGAGGCAGCAGUGGGGAAUUUUGGACAAUGGACGCAAGUCUGAUCCAGCCAUUCCGCGUGCAGGAUGAAGGCCCUCGGGUUGUAAACUGCUUUUGUACGGAACGAAAGGUUUGUCUUAAUACGAUGAGCUCAUGACGGUACCGUAAGAAUAAGCACCGGCUAACUACGUG